Molecule: long non-coding RNA, 249 nt
Filed under: Elaeis guineensis (African oil palm)
Lineage: Eukaryota; Viridiplantae; Streptophyta; Magnoliopsida; Arecales; Arecaceae
Description: long non-coding RNA (EGUI_LNC028373)
Source: RNAcentral
GGCCCAUAAGUAUAUGCAGGCCAAAGAGGGCUGAAUCGUAUGUCGAUAGGAGAAUAGUCAAGCUCCCAACAAGAAAAAGUAUGCAUGAGAGGAUACAAGCCCAAGUCGAGAUGAAGUAGAAUCUUUUUGACCAGCGAAAGUUCUGCAACCGAAGAGUCCGCCACAGUACUACAACAACUAUGCUCUGGUGAUUGCCUCCCCGAUCUCAAAUCCUUAUAGAGAUCGAGGGACAGAGUUACCUUCGCUACC